GGGUUGUGAGGUUAAGCGACUAAGCGUACACGGUGGAUGCCCUGGCAGUCAGAGGCGAUGAAGGGCGUGCUAAUCUGCGAUAAGCGCCGGUAAGGUGAUAUGAACCGUUAUAACCGGCGAUACCCGAAUGGGGAAACCCAGUGUGAUUCGUCACACUAUCAUUAACUGAAUCCAUAGGUUAAUGAGGCGAACCGGGGGAACUGAAACAUCUAAGUACCCCGAGGAAAAGAAAUCAACCGAGAUUCCCCCAGUAGCGGCGAGCGAACGGGGAGGAGCCCAGAGCCUGAAUCAGCAUGUGUGUUAGUGGAAGCGUCUGGAAAGGCGCGCGAUACAGGGUGACAGCCCCGUACACAAAAGCGCAUGUGCUGUGAGCUCGAUGAGUAGGGCGGGACACGUGGUAUCCUGUCUGAAUAUGGGGGGACCAUCCUCCAAGGCUAAAUACUCCUGACUGACCGAUAGUGAACCAGUACCGUGAGGGAAAGGCGAAAAGAACCCCGGCGAGGGGAGUGAAAAAGAACCUGAAACCGUGUACGUACAAGCAGUGGGAGNNNNNNNNNNNNNNNNNNNNNNNNNNNNNNNNNNNNNNNGGGCGUUAAGUUGCAGGGUAUAGACCCGAAACCCGGUGAUCUAGCCAUGGGCAGGUUGAAGGUUGGGUAACACUAACUGGAGGACCGAACCGACUAAUGUUGAAAAAUUAGCGGAUGACCUGUGGCUGGGGGUGAAAGGCCAAUCAAACCGGGAGAUAGCUGGUUCUCCCCGAAAGCUAUUUAGGUAGCGCCUCGUGAAUUCAUCUCCGGGGGUAGAGCACUGUUUCGGCUAGGGGGCCAUCCCGGCUUACCAACCCGAUGCAAACUGCGAAUACCGGAGAAUGUUAUCACGGGAGACACACGGCGGGUGCUAACGUCCGUCGUGAAGAGGGAAACAACCCAGACCGCCAGCUAAGGUCCCAAAGUCAUGGUUAAGUGGGAAACGAUGUGGGAAGGCCCAGACAGCCAGGAUGUUGGCUUAGAAGCAGCCAUCAUUUAAAGAAAGCGUAAUAGCUCACUGGUCGAGUCGGCCUGCGCGGAAGAUGUAACGGGGCUAAACCAUGCACCGAAGCUGCGGCAGCGAACGUAUCACCCAAGACAACUUUACGGAGUUGACGAUUGACGGAGCGAAGCGACGUCAAAGCGUUCAUUAAAGUCGAGUUGGCUUAGGGAUACGUUCGUUGGGUAGGGGAGCGUUCUGUAAGCCUGUGAAGGUGUGUCGUGAGGCAUGCUGGAGGUAUCAGAAGUGCGAAUGCUGACAUAAGUAACGAUAAAGCGGGUGAAAAGCCCGCUCGCCGGAAGACCAAGGGUUCCUGUCCAACGUUAAUCGGGGCAGGGUGAGUCGACCCCUAAGGCGAGGCCGAAAGGCGUAGUCGAUGGGAAACGGGUUAAUAUUCCCGUACUUGGUGUUACUGCGAAGGGGGGACGGAGAAGGCUAUGUUGGCCGGGCGACGGUUGUCCCGGUUUAAGCGUGUAGGUGUGUGUUCCAGGUAAAUCCGGUUCACUUUAACACUGAGGCGUGACGACGAGGCACUACGGUGCUGAAGCAACAAAUGCCCUGCUUCCAGGAAAAGCCUCUAAGCAUCAGGUAACACGAAAUCGUACCCCAAACCGACACAGGUGGUCAGGUAGAGAAUACCAAGGCGCUUGAGAGAACUCGGGUGAAGGAACUAGGCAAAAUGGUGCCGUAACUUCGGGAGAAGGCACGCUGACACGUAGGUGAAGUGAUUUACUCAUGGAGCUGAAGUCAGUCGAAGAUACCAGCUGGCUGCAACUGUUUAUUAAAAACACAGCACUGUGCAAACACGAAAGUGGACGUAUACGGUGUGACGCCUGCCCGGUGCCGGAAGGUUAAUUGAUGGGGUCAGCGCAAGCGAAGCUCCUGAUCGAAGCCCCGGUAAACGGCGGCCGUAACUAUAACGGUCCUAAGGUAGCGAAAUUCCUUGUCGGGUAAGUUCCGACCUGCACGAAUGGCGUAAUGAUGGCCAGGCUGUCUCCACCCGAGACUCAGUGAAAUUGAACUCGCUGUGAAGAUGCAGUGUACCCGCGGCAAGACGGAAAGACCCCGUGAACCUUUACUAUAGCUUGACACUGAACAUUGAGCCUUGAUGUGUAGGAUAGGUGGGAGGCUUUGAAGUGUGGACGCCAGUCUGCAUGGAGCCGACCUUGAAAUACCACCCUUUAAUGUUUGAUGUUCUAACGUGGACCCGUAAUCCGGGUUGCGGACAGUGUCUGGUGGGUAGUUUGACUGGGGCGGUCUCCUCCUAAAGAGUAACGGAGGAGCACGAAGGUUGGCUAAUCCUGGUCGGACAUCAGGAGGUUAGUGCAAUGGCAUAAGCCAGCUUGACUGCGAGCGUGACGGCGCGAGCAGGUGCGAAAGCAGGUCAUAGUGAUCCGGUGGUUCUGAAUGGAAGGGCCAUCGCUCAACGGAUAAAAGGUACUCCGGGGAUAACAGGCUGAUACCGCCCAAGAGUUCAUAUCGACGGCGGUGUUUGGCACCUCGAUGUCGGCUCAUCACAUCCUGGGGCUGAAGUAGGUCCCAAGGGUAUGGCUGUUCGCCAUUUAAAGUGGUACGCGAGCUGGGUUUAGAACGUCGUGAGACAGUUCGGUCCCUAUCUGCCGUGGGCGCUGGAGAACUGAGGGGGGCUGCUCCUAGUACGAGAGGACCGGAGUGGACGCAUCACUGGUGUUCGGGUUGUCAUGCCAAUGGCACUGCCCGGUAGCUAAAUGCGGAAGAGAUAAGUGCUGAAAGCAUCUAAGCACGAAACUUGCCCCGAGAUGAGUUCUCCCUGAGACUUAGAGUCUCCUGAAGGAACGUUGAAGACGACGACGUUGAUAGGCCGGGUGUGUAAGCGCAGCGAUGCGUUGAGCUAACCGGUAC
Molecule: ribosomal RNA, 2907 nt
Filed under: Salmonella enterica subsp. enterica serovar Typhimurium
Lineage: Bacteria; Pseudomonadati; Pseudomonadota; Gammaproteobacteria; Enterobacterales; Enterobacteriaceae
Description: bacterial LSU rRNA
Rfam family: Bacterial large subunit ribosomal RNA
Source: RNAcentral